RNAcentral lists this non-coding RNA (31 nucleotides) under Rattus norvegicus (Norway rat). Lineage: Eukaryota; Metazoa; Chordata; Mammalia; Rodentia; Muridae. The record is from RNAcentral.
UCAGGGAUAUUACUUAAUAAGGAUGGUUGCU